CCCCUCUCAGGAUUGCAUCUGGAGAGUUUCCUGUACUCUACCCGUUUUGGCUAUGGGAGGGAGAGUCAAGCAGAGACAUACCCACUCCAUCCCUAGCUUGGGCAGUGGCUAGCGAGUGGAAGGCAAUCUACUGCAAGU
Small nucleolar RNA from Ornithorhynchus anatinus (platypus), 138 nucleotides. NCBI's taxonomy places the organism in Eukaryota, Metazoa, Chordata, Mammalia, Monotremata, Ornithorhynchidae. The record is from RefSeq and is a predicted model, not a curated record.